RNAcentral lists this ribosomal RNA (253 nucleotides) under uncultured bacterium. RNAcentral's name for it is "partial 16S ribosomal RNA". It matches the Rfam family "Bacterial small subunit ribosomal RNA", at positions 524 to 776 of the family's 1533-position model. The record is from RNAcentral.
UACGAAGGGUGCAAGCGUUACUCGGAAUUACUGGGCGUAAAGCGUGCGUAGGUGGUUUGUUAAGCCUGUUGUGAAAGCCCCGGGCUCAACCUGGGAAUGGCAAUGGAUACUGGCAAGCUAGAGUGCGGUAGAGGGUAGUGGAAUUCCCGGUGUAGCGGUGAAAUGCGUAGAGAUCGGGAGGAACACCAGUGGCGAAGGCGACUUUCUGGGCUGUAACUGACGCUGAGGCGCGAAAGCGUGGGGAGCAAACAGG